This 824-nucleotide long non-coding RNA is filed under the name Sander lucioperca (pikeperch). RNAcentral describes it as "lncRNA (ENSSLUG00000012075.1)". Lineage: Eukaryota; Metazoa; Chordata; Actinopteri; Perciformes; Percidae. The record is from RNAcentral.
GAUUUAGCGUGAGCUGAUCUCACACACUUUCUUCAUCUCUCCCUCUCAGAGUACACAGAUGAUGACAGUUCAAUCCCCAAAGGCUCCUCCGUCAUCGUCAGGAGAAUCCCAAUCAUUGGAGGAAAAUCCAGCAGCAGCAAGACCCGCAACGUUGAGCGAUCAGAUGUCCAGCACCACGCCUUCGGAGCCUACAAAGCAGUACGUAACCAAACUCCUGCAGCUCCACUAAACACACACGUUGUUAGCGUGUCCUAAUAUCUCUCUUUGAACAUACAUUGAGUGUGUGCUUCGGUGUGAAAUGAAACCACAAUGUAGAUCACUGAAAGCCUCUAAUUUCCUGUACUGCAGUUUAAGUUCCUGUUGCAAAGAGGAAGUAGUGCGCUUCUCAGGAUUUGAUUUACAGGGAGUUGCUGCUCUGAGAUAAAAUCAUAUUUUACAAUGAAAAUAACAAUAGUUAUUAAAAAGUAGAGCUGCCCCCUGAAAGUCAAAUAUUCGAAUCAUCAGCCGGGGAGCCCUCAGUCGACUGAGAUUCUUCAAGCCGAGCAGUCGUUAUUUGUAAGCGUUUUGCCAGUCAGAGUGAGCACUCCUCGCGUUCACGCUGCUCUCCGGGGUGAAAGCCUUCCACUACAUCAAGUCGGCCCAUUCGCUCAAUGAAAAUGUCAGCAACGGGUACAGGCCGUUAUUAUUAUACAUCCAUGGUACAGGCAGCAUGGUGGCCCUAUGGUUAGCACUGUGGCCUCACAGCAAGAAGGUUCUGGGUUCCCCCACCAUCAAAAUGUAUUAUGUAAUGUACUAGGUUCUCCAGUCAGUGCCCUUGAUCAAGG